AUUCCAAACGAACUUGGAGAUAGCUGGUUCUCUCCGAAAUAGCUUUAGGGCUAGCGUCGAUGUUAAGUCUCUUGGAGGUAGAGCACUGUUUGGGUGAGGGGUCCAUCUCGGAUUACCAAUCUCAGAUAAACUCCGAAUGCCAACGAGAUAUAAUCGGCAGUCAGACUGCGAGUGCUAAGAUCCGUAGUCGAAAGGGAAACAGCCCAGACCACCAGCUAAGGUCCCAAAAUAUAUGUUAAGUGGAAAAGGAUGUGGGGUUGCACAGACAACUAGGAUGUUAGCUUAGAAGCAGCUAUUCAUUCAAAGAGUGCGUAAUAGCUCACUAGUCGAGUGACCCUGCGCCGAAAAUGUACCGGGGCUAAAACAUAUUACCGAAGCUGUGGAUGACACGUUAGUGUCAUGGUAGGAGAGCGUUCUAUGUGUGAAGAAGGUGUACCGUGAGGAGCGCUGGAACGCAUAGAAGUGAGAAUGCCGGUAUGAGUAGCGAAAGACAGGUGAGAAUCCUGUCCACCGUAAGACUAAGGUUUCCAGGGGAAGGCUCGUCCGCCCUGGGUUAGUCGGGACCUAAGGAGAGACCGAAAGGUGUAUCCGAUGGCCAACAGGUUGAUAUUCCUGUACUAGAGUAUAUAGUGAAGGAGGGACGCAGUAGGCUAACUAAAGCGUGCGAUUGGAAGAGCACGUCUAAGCAGUGAGGUGUGAUAUGAGUCAAAUGCUUGUAUCUCUAACAUUGAGCUGUGAUGGGGAGCGAAGUUAAGUAGCGAAGUUAGUGAUGUCACACUGCCAAGAAAAGCUUCUAGCGUUAAUUAUACUCUACCCGUACCGCAAACCGACACAGGUAGUCGAGGCGAGUAGCCUCAGGUGAGCGAGAGAACUCUCGUUAAGGAACUCGGCAAAAUGACCCCGUAACUUCGGGAGAAGGGGUGCUGACUUAGGUCAGCCGCAGUGAAUAGGCCCAAGCAACUGUUUAUCAAAAACACAGCUCUCUGCUAAAUCGUAAGAUGAUGUAUAGGGGGUGACGCCUGCCCGGUGCUGGAAGGUUAAGAGGAGGGUUUAGCGUAAGCGAAGAUCUGAAUUGAAGCCCCAGUAAACGGCGGCCGUAACUAUAACGGUCCUAAGGUAGCGAAAUUCCUUGUCGGGUAAGUUCCGACCCGCACGAAAGGCGUAAUGAUUUGGGCACUGUCUCAACGAGAGACUCGGUGAAAUUUUAGUACCUGUGAAGAUGCAGGUUACCCGCGACAGGACGGAAAGACCCCAUGGAGCUUUACUGCAGUUUGAUAUUGAGUAUCUGUACCACAUGUACAGGAUAGGUAGGAGCCAUUGAAGUCGGGACGCCAGUUUCGACGGAGGCGUUGUUGGGAUACUACCCUUGUGUUAUGGCUACUCUAACCCGGAUAGGUUAUCCCUAUCGGAGACAGUGUCUGACGGGCAGUUUGACUGGGGCGGUCGCCUCCUAAAAGGUAACGGAGGCGCCCAAAGGUUCCCUCAGAUUGGUUGGAAAUCAAUCGCAGAGUGUAAAGGUAUAAGGGAGCUUGACUGCGAGAGCUACAAC
RNAcentral lists this ribosomal RNA (1549 nucleotides) under human gut metagenome. RNAcentral's name for it is "bacterial LSU rRNA". It matches the Rfam family "Bacterial large subunit ribosomal RNA", at positions 826 to 2388 of the family's 2925-position model. The record is from RNAcentral.